Molecule: ribosomal RNA, 881 nt
Filed under: uncultured Terriglobales bacterium
Lineage: Bacteria; Pseudomonadati; Acidobacteriota; Terriglobia; Terriglobales
Description: SSU rRNA
Rfam family: Bacterial small subunit ribosomal RNA
Source: RNAcentral
CANGCUGGCGGCGUGCCUAAUACAUGCAAGUCGUACGCGAAAGUAGCCUUCGGGCUGCGAGUAGAGUGGCAAACGGGUGAGUAACGCGUGGGUGACCUGCCUUCGAGCGGGGGAUAACCUUCCGAAAGGGGGGCUAAUACCGCAUAAUAUCCCGCCCUUGGAUGGGUGGUGAUCAAAGUCGGGGAUCUUCGGACCUGGCGCUUGAAGAGGGACCCGCGUCCGAUUAGCUUGUUGGUGGGGUAGUGGCCUACCAAGGCGUCUAUCGGUAGCCGGCCUGAGAGGGCGGACGGCCACACUGGGACUGAGACACGGCCCAGACUCCUACGGGAGGCAGCAGUAGGGAAUUGUUCGCAAUGGGCGCAAGCCUGACGACGCAACGCCGCGUGGAGGACGAAGAUCUUCGGGUUGUAAACUCCUGUCAAGUGGGAAGAACAGUGUGGUGGUUAAUAGCCAUUGCGCCUGACGGUACCACUGAAGGAAGCCCCGGCUAACUCCGUGCCAGCAGCCGCGGUAAUACGGGGGGGGCAAGCGUUGUUCGGAAUUACUGGGCGUAAAGGGCUCGUAGGCGGCCAUCCAAGUCGGACGUGAAAUCCCCAGGCUCAACCUGGGAACUGCGUUCGAUACUGGUUGGCUUGAAUCCGGGAGAGGGAUGCGGAAUUCCAGGUGUAGCGGUGAAAUGCGUAGAUAUCUGGAGGAACACCGGUGGCGAAGGCGGCAUCCUGGACCGGUAUUGACGCUGAGGAGCGAAAGCCAGGGGAGCGAACGGGAUUAGAUACCCCGGUAGUCCUGGCCCUAAACGAUGAAUGCUUGGUGUGGCGGGUAUCGAUCCCUGCCGUGCCGGAGCUAACGCGUUAAGCAUUCCGCCUGGNGAGUACGGUCAC